Molecule: ribosomal RNA, 253 nt
Filed under: uncultured bacterium
Lineage: Bacteria
Description: partial 16S ribosomal RNA
Rfam family: Bacterial small subunit ribosomal RNA
Source: RNAcentral
UACAGAGGGUGCAAGCGUUAAUCGGAAUUACUGGGCGUAAAGCGUGCGUAGACGGUUAUGUAAGUCGGGUGUGAAAGCCCCGGGCUCAACCUGGGAAUUGCAUUCGAGACUGUGUAGCUAGGGUACGGAAGAGGGAAGCGGAAUUUCAGGUGUAGCGGUGAAAUGCGUAGAUAUCUGAAGGAACACCAGUGGCGAAGGCGGGUUGCUGGGCCGACACUGACGCUGAUGCGCGAAAGCCAGGGGAGCGAACGGG